UUGCUAUGAUGGUUACAUUUUUCGUCAACAGCAUUUCACCCAGUGAAUGGUGACGCAUCAAGGCUGAGCGA
Molecule: small nucleolar RNA, 71 nt
Organism: Podarcis muralis (Common wall lizard)
Lineage: Eukaryota; Metazoa; Chordata; Lepidosauria; Squamata; Lacertidae
Product: small nucleolar RNA SNORD56
Source: Ensembl